UAUCAAACACCCCUCACCCUUGCUCUAAAUUCUAAAAUAACGCAAACGGUACCAGCAAGCAGCAAGCCUCUCUCCAUUUUCUUCGCCGGCGGCAGGUGCACACAUCGGGGAAUGGCGACCUACGACCAUGCCGCCACCCCGACACCGCAGUCUCCGGGCGUCGGCGGCGUACCCUUCUCGUCCUGCAUCGGCGACCUCCUCCGCUUCGUCCUCUCCUCCCACGCCGCCGCCUACCCCGGUGACGACACGGUCGCUUUCCCCCUCUCGCCCUCCUACUGCGCCCGCCUCCUCAACGACGGCGAACUGUUCGAGAAGCUGGAGGCCUGUAUUCAGCAGUGCCUCGAGGAGGGGCGGCUCCCGGGGCCGCCCGCGGUGGUUGGGAUUCCGGCUGAGGAGGAGGGGCCGGAGGAGAGAGGGUGGAAGCUGCUGCUGCCGGAGAAAGGCGCUGAGUUGAAGCGGAUGUACGAUGCUGUUGAGUUUGAGCUGCAUGUUCAGGAACCCUACUUCACUCAACUCAGAGCCGGAGUCAAGAAGGUUGAAGGGAGAUUAGCGACUGGUAACUACAACCGGAUUACACAAGGUUCUUUGCUGCUAUUCAAUAAAUGCCUCUUGCUUAACGUUGAGGCAGUUAGGAAGUACAAUUCAUUCUCUGAGAUGCUGAAAGGAGAGAAAAUCUCAAAUGUUCUUCCUGGUAUUUCAUCAAUUGUAGAAGGUGUGAAAGUAUAUAGGAAAUUCUAUGCAGAGGAAAAGGAGAACUCUUAUGGAGUUUUAGCGAUAUCAGUUUCAAAGCCAACAUCUCAACCUUACAUAACCAUGAAUAAUAUCCUUGCUGGAUUGGGGUAUGAUGGACUGGGUAGACUCCUUGGUAUGGCGAAAACAACUGGAACUGUUCCAGAUGGACUACCUCCUCCAAGAUCUGCACUGCUGUCAUCUUGUAUGGGACUGGUUCAACCAAAUGUGAAAGGCUGUUCUUUAACUGAUGGUGCGAGGGCAUUGGCCAAACAUGUUCACAGGAGUAGGAAAGGAUGGUGGGGCAGCUUUAAUGGGAGUGGUAAAGAUAAAGUCCACCUUGAUACGCCGGAGUCCAGAGUUCGAGACUUCUGUCGUGAUCUAUUUCAUUGUUGUGUUGCUUGUCUUCAGAUUCAAGCAAGAACCAAGCUGCAUCUGAAACCAUUGAGUCUUUGCUGCGUGUGUGUUGUUGGAUGAAUGUUCAUCUGACUCAACCCUAUGGUCCUGUUUUUGAAAUCCGCGUGCAUGAAGGUUAUGGUGCCAGAUGGUCUCAAGAUGGUUCAAAGUUCAUUGGAUUCUUGGAGCCCUACACCCCAGAAGGCUAUGCUAAGGGAUGGAAACACUAGCACCAGCUGCCUAGUAGAUCUUGAUCUGUAUUAGCGACUCUAUCAGGGUUCAUCUGCAUAUCUUCUGAAGGCCUACAUGUUCUGUUGAAUCGAAAGAGACGAUCAUGUGUUACGUCAGCUGCCUGCCUAAGAUCAUGUGUUGCAUGACCACUGUUUUAUUUCUGAAUAUGUUCUUUUUUUUUGCAAGGCGUAUAUCGACACCAAGUACUGAUAUAUGCGUCUGAAUAUGUUCUACUUUUAUUCAAACACACCCGCCAAGAUCAGUUCAUAGUUUUGCACAAAGACAUGCAAAUGCAAUUGGACACAACCCAAAUAGAAAGGUAUUUUUUGUUUCAA
Molecule: RNA transcript, 1691 nt
Organism: Zea mays
Lineage: Eukaryota; Viridiplantae; Streptophyta; Magnoliopsida; Poales; Poaceae
Exons: 9
Source: RefSeq, marked predicted